RNAcentral lists this ribosomal RNA (253 nucleotides) under uncultured bacterium. RNAcentral's name for it is "partial 16S ribosomal RNA". It matches the Rfam family "Bacterial small subunit ribosomal RNA", at positions 524 to 776 of the family's 1533-position model. The record is from RNAcentral.
UACGUAGGGCGCGAGCGUUGUCCGGAAUUAUUGGGCGUAAAGAGCUCGUAGGCGGCGUGUCGCGUCGGGAGUGAAAGACCGGGGCUUAACCCCGGUUCUGCUUCCGGUACGGGCAUGCUGGAGUGUGGCAGGGGAGACUGGAAUUCCUGGUGUAGCGGUGGAAUGCGCAGAUAUCAGGAGGAACACCGGUGGCGAAGGCGGGUCUCUGGGCCAUUACUGACGCUGAGGAGCGAAAGCGUGGGGAGCGAACAGG